CCUACGGGUGGCAGCAGUCGGGAAUAUUGCGCAAUGGCGGAAACUCUGACGCAGCGACGCCGCGUGUAGGAAGAAGGUUUUCGGAUUGUAAACUCUUGUUGUUAGGGAAGAAAAUGACUGUAUCUCAGGAGGAAGCACCGGCUAACUCCGUGCCAGCAGCCGCGGUAAUACGGAGGGAGCAAGCGUUAUUCGGAAUCACUGGGCGUAAAGGGCGCGUAGGCGGGAAAGUAAGUUAGUUGUGAAAUCCUUUGGCUUAACUAUGGAACUGCAUUUGAAACUGUUAUUCUAGAGUACGGGAGAGGAAGGUGGAAUUCCUGGUGUAGGGGUGAAAUGCGUAGAGAUCAAGAGGAACACCAAUGGCGAAGGCGACCUGCUGGAAAGUAACUGACGCUGAGGCGCGAAAGCGUGGGGAGCAAACAGGAUUAGAUACCCCUGUAGUC
Molecule: ribosomal RNA, 440 nt
Filed under: uncultured bacterium
Lineage: Bacteria
Description: partial 16S ribosomal RNA
Rfam family: Bacterial small subunit ribosomal RNA
Source: RNAcentral